CCGUUUUUUUUUGUUCUAGAUCCCUCCACUGCUAUUCUCAUCGCCUCUUUUUUCCUAUAUUUGUUCCUCGCUUCCCACCGCUUCUCAUUGUUUUAUGUUCCUCGCUUCCCACCGUCUUCUCUCUUCUAUUCUCUUUGGUUCUUCCUCUAUCCCAUCGGAUACUCACCACCAUCAAGUCGUCGAUUUCCCUGAUGCUUCUUAAGUCAUCAGACCAGUCACUACCAACUACGUCUUUCUAUAUAGGGUUCGUCCAUGCUCUGGCGUAGCAAACUACAUACGACGGUCGGAUAGAGAAAAAGAAAUAUACAAAUUUCAAGAUUCAUCUCUUUGCUAUCUUCUUCCCAACUGAUAUGAAGGAUAUGUAUGGCGUAGGGAUAGGGGACGAGAACGAUGGGGUGGAGGAAUGUCAUUCAAAACGUCGCCUCCGUUAUGUUUGGUGGUUGAUGACGUGAAGAAGGUGGUCUGGACUUGGGAAGAUUGGUUUCAAUUUUAUUCUUGAUCAGGUGCGAUGGUGUCACCAAACUCGUACUCCAGGUAUUCGAUGAAAAGCCCGGUUGAAGUAGACAAUGUUUAAAAACAACAUUUUAACAUUUUGACCUUCAGCUUUAAUAUCCUGAAAUUGAAGGCCUAGAAGACCAAGACAUCGAUUUAUGUCAUCCUUUCAGCAGGGAUGAUAAUGAAAGAUAUGGUGGUAAGCAAACAGUGAAUUAAAAUCACAAUCGGAGGUUUUAGUGAAGAUAGAUAACAAAAAUGGGGUUCCGUUGAGAGUCUUAUAUUACUUAAAGGAUAAAAAAUUGCUUUUUGUAUAACCACAUUCCUAUUGAUAGCUUUUGUGAUCUUGUCCAUGUUAACUACUUAACAUCUUUCUCGCUGUAUUUUCAAUUAUUUAUUCAUUUUUUUAUUGAUUUAUUGUACAAAAAAUGUACAACUAUGUGAACCUUACACCAAAGAACGACUGCAGCAAAUCCCUGCAAGUUGGACUUACUUUUGCUGGUGAAUAUAUGGCUGGCUUUUGUAUGCUAUUGUGGCCUUGGAAGACAAAUUGUAAUAAAUUUAAGCUAUAAAUUCUAUUGGCAUGUUGGUUUUAGGUUGCUAAUUAAUUUCACUUUUAUGUUAUUUAGGUUUUGUAACAGAAUAAAAGAUGUAUCAAGAUAAGUAGGUAGUUUGGAAGGCGGAUAUAGACCCAAAUCUAGGUGAAUCUAUCAUCCCUAGUUAUAUGUUAAAUAUGAGACCCAUGCUCAGCAAGCUGGUGAAUAUGUGGCUGGCUUUUGUAUGCUAUAUAAAGAAUCCAUAAUCCCACAAAUGUUAUCAUGAUCAUAUAAAUCAUUAAAAAGAGCUAGAGAUCAUAGUUUUAUCCCGUUGCUAUUUUCUAAGUAGUUUUGAUGUAAGUUGUGCUCAACCAUUUUUUUUUUGGCAUUUUGUUUCAAGCAUUGUUAAAAAGUCAAUGAGAUGAAUGUAAUGCGUACUUGGUUAACCAGAGAAAGUUCUAUUCGAUAUUUUUUUAAUGAGCAUGAAGUUAACUAGCAAAAAGAUACAAA
Molecule: non-coding RNA, 1538 nt
Organism: Lactuca sativa (garden lettuce)
Lineage: Eukaryota; Viridiplantae; Streptophyta; Magnoliopsida; Asterales; Asteraceae
Source: RefSeq, a predicted model, not a curated record